RNAcentral lists this transfer RNA (66 nucleotides) under Gessius rufidorsus. Its description in RNAcentral is "Gessius sp. 'rufidorsus' tRNA-Leu". Lineage: Eukaryota; Metazoa; Arthropoda; Insecta; Hemiptera; Cicadellidae. The record is from RNAcentral.
AUUGAUUUGGCAGAUUAUUGUAUUAAUUUUAGAAAUUAAUAGAAGUGUAAGUUUACACAUUCAAUU